CAUCACCUCUAGCAUCCCAAGUAUUAGAGGCACUGCCUGCCCAGUGACUAACGUUAAACGGCCGCGGUAUCCUGACCGUGCAAAGGUAGCAUAAUCAUUUGUUCCUUAAUUAGGGACUGGAAUGAACGGCUUGACGAGGGUUUAACUGUCUCCUAUUUCCAAUCAGUGAAAUUGACCUCCCCGUGAAGAGGCGGGGAUUACAAAAUAAGACGAGAAGACCCUAUGGAGCUUUAGUUUACUAGUUUAAUCCUAAUAACAAACAACCUACUGGUCUAAUACACAAAAAUAUAAACUAGUAAUUUUGGUUGGGGUGACCUCGGAGCAUAAAAAAACCUCCGAAUGAUUUUAACCAAGACACACAAGUCUAAGUAACCAAAUAUCUUAUUGACCCAAACUUCUUUUUGAUCAACGGACCAAGUUACCCUAGGGAUAACAGCGCAAUCCUAUUCAAGAGUCCAUAUCGACAAUUAGGGUUUACGACCUCGAUGUUGGAUCAGGACAUCCCAAUGGUGCAGAAGCUAUUAAUGGUUCGUUUGUUCAACGAUUAAAGUCCUACGUGAUCA
RNAcentral lists this ribosomal RNA (563 nucleotides) under Neotoma floridana (eastern woodrat). Its description in RNAcentral is "partial 16S ribosomal RNA". It matches the Rfam family "Bacterial large subunit ribosomal RNA", at positions 1814 to 2606 of the family's 2925-position model. The record is from RNAcentral. Lineage: Eukaryota; Metazoa; Chordata; Mammalia; Rodentia; Cricetidae.